Molecule: long non-coding RNA, 1418 nt
Filed under: Mus pahari (shrew mouse)
Lineage: Eukaryota; Metazoa; Chordata; Mammalia; Rodentia; Muridae
Description: lncRNA (MGP_PahariEiJ_G0002132.1)
Source: RNAcentral
AGAGGAAGAAGGACUCAGAGGCCGGACGGACAGUCACGUGUGUUGUGGGCAGGGCCACUAGUACUCAGCUACCUGUGCCAUCUUUGUGAGGAAGCAGUCGAUGAAGUCCCGGGGAGAGUUGGGGUCCAGGGAAUCCUGGUGUUCACGGAUGCUGCGGGCAAUGAGAUCUUUCAUGCCUCCAAAGUUCCGGAACACGCGUCUGUGUGGCCCAGGAUCUUGAUGUACUGUGAAGACUGGCCUUGAACUCAUGAUCCUCUUGUCUCAACCUUCUGAGUGCUAAUGAAUUUUCAGAGAGAUGACCAUACCCAAGGGUCUUGGAGCUGUAGAAAACUGUGAUUUUGUUUGAACUUUGUAUUGCUGACAUGGAACUGAGGACUUGGGCACACUAGGCAAGUACUUUGCCCCCGAGCCACGCCCCCAGCCCCUUACUGGGGGAUUCUAGGCAGGGGCUCUACCAUUAAGCUAUGCCCCUAACCACCUCCUGUGGGAUUCUAGGAAGGUGUUCUACCUUCUUAAUUAUAAAUCCCAUAAGAAAUAAAAUGAUCAACUCCCUAAGGUAUUUAGUUUUAAUUAUGUGUGUGUUUGUUUGUAUCUUUCUGUCUGUGUACAUACAUGUGUAUGGAUGCCCUUGGAGGCCAGAGGGUGUUGGAUACUCUGAAGCUGGUUACAGGAAGUUGUGAACUACGAUGUGGGUUCUGGGAACUGAACCCAAGUCCUCUGCAGGAGCAAGAAGUGCUCUUAAUCACAGAGCCAUCUCUCUAGCCCACUUUCCCCUCACCCCCUCCCUGACAUUUUUUAUUUCUUUGAAACAAGGCCUCAUGUAACAUAGACUGGCUUCAAACUCACUAUUUAUCCAAGAAUGAUCUUGAAGUCAUUCAAGAUCUGGCCCUCCUGCCUCCACCUUCUGAAUUCUGGAAUUACAGCACCUCCAGCAGGAAGCUGCCUUCUUCCAGGAUCCGCUCCUCGAUGCUUCUUUUUCCCAUGCCAAAGUUCCGCAGGAUUUGGACAGAGAACCUUCGGAGGAUCUUCCAGCGCUCCCCACUGGAGAAGGCGAUGCCUGGGAAGAAGAAAAAGAAUGUCAAAUCCAACUGGCAACCAUCCCCAGACCACAGCCACUGAUUCAUCUCUCCCUGCUCCAUCAGGAGGGGGUUCAGUUUAGAACCCCCCUCAGUUCUUCCAGCAAAUCCUUCCCGACUCUUGGGAGUGGGCCUGCUUUGGGCUCUGCAGGACUCUGGACUUUCCGAAGAUCACGCUGCCUCCGUAUUCCCCUGUAACGACCUGUGACUUUGAAGUGUCAGAAAGGCAGACUAAAGACACAUUUUUUGUCAAAGUGACCUUUGAAUUGUCACCAGAUCUUGUUGAUUGUUUAUUGAUUAUUGAGUGCACAAAUAAAAGAGGUAAAUAAGAAAAAUAAAUAC